Molecule: long non-coding RNA, 212 nt
Filed under: Ananas comosus (pineapple)
Lineage: Eukaryota; Viridiplantae; Streptophyta; Magnoliopsida; Poales; Bromeliaceae
Description: long non-coding RNA (ACOM_LNC028338)
Source: RNAcentral
UAUAAGUAUUCCCCGGUUAGAUAUAUCAAUUUGACCAAUUCUACCAUUUCUUUCAAACCUAGAAAACCACUAUUAACCAAACCCUACAAAUAUUCAUUCAAAGGCCGAAAACCUAUAAGCACCAAUGAUUUGGUAUUUUUAAAAGCAUAUGGAGCUCAAUUCGUUACUUGUGUAUCAACUAUUUGAUGCAUAUAAAACUUAAACAUCAGUAU